CAAUAGCGUAUAUUAAAGCUGUUGCGGUUAAAAAGCUCGUAGUUGGAUUUCUGUCAAGGGCAACUGGUCCGCCCUCCGGGUGAGCACAUAGUUUGGUCUUGGCAUCUUGCUGGAAACUGUUGCUGCACUUGGCUGUGUGGCGCAGCGUCCAGCACUUUCACUUUGAGGAAAUUGGAGUGUUUCAAGCAGGCACAUGCCUUUGGACACAGUAGCAUGGAAUAAUUAGAUUGGGCUUUUGCUCCAAUUUGUCGGUUUCUGGAGCUGAGGUGAGAAUUAAUGGGGAUUGUUGGGGGCAUCCGAAUUUAGCCGUCAGAGGUGAAAUUCUUGGAUCUGCUAAAGACGGACAACUGCGAAAGCGUUUGCCCAGGAUGUUUUCAUUGA
Molecule: ribosomal RNA, 381 nt
Filed under: uncultured eukaryote
Lineage: Eukaryota
Description: partial 18S ribosomal RNA
Rfam family: Eukaryotic small subunit ribosomal RNA
Source: RNAcentral